RNAcentral lists this ribosomal RNA (427 nucleotides) under uncultured bacterium. RNAcentral describes it as "partial 16S ribosomal RNA". It matches the Rfam family "Bacterial small subunit ribosomal RNA", at positions 355 to 774 of the family's 1533-position model. The record is from RNAcentral.
UGGGGAAUAUUGCACAAUGGGCGCAAGCCUGAUGCAGCCAUGCCGCGUGUAUGAAGAAGGCCUUCGGGUUGUAAAGUACUUUCAGCGGGGAGGAAGGCGAUAAGGUUAAUAACCUUGUCGAUUGACGUUACCCGCAGAAGAAGCACCGGCUAACUCCGUGCCAGCAGCCGCGGUAACACGGAGGGUGCAAGCGUUAAUCGGAAUUACUGGGCGUAAAGCGCACGCAGGCGGUCUGUCAAGUCGGAUGUGAAAUCCCCGGGCUCAACCUGGGAACUGCAUUCGAAACUGGCAGGCUAGAGUCUUGUAGAGGGGGGUAGAAUUCCAGGUGUAGCGGUGAAAUGCGUAGAGAUCUGGAGGAAUACCGGUGGCGAAGGCGGCCCCCUGGACAAAGACUGACGCUCAGGUGCGAAAGCGUGGGGAGCAAACA